RNAcentral lists this unclassified non-coding RNA (355 nucleotides) under soil metagenome. RNAcentral's name for it is "partial contains 5.8S ribosomal RNA, internal transcribed spacer 2, and large subunit ribosomal RNA". The stretch from base 1 to 120 matches the Rfam family "5.8S ribosomal RNA", at positions 35 to 154 of the family's 154-position model. The record is from RNAcentral.
GAUGAAGAACGUAGCGAAAUGCGAUAAGUAGUGUGAAUUGCAGAAUUCAGUGAAUCAUCGAAUCUUUGAACGCACAUUGCGCCUUCUAGUAUUCUGGGAGGCAUGCCUGUUUGAGCGUCAUUAAACCUCUCUCAAGUAUGAUUACUUGGAUGUGAAGGAAGAGUACCUUAAACUUAAGGAGUGUUCUCCUUUGAAAUUGAUUAGCAGAUGGUAAUGUUAUUAAAUCCCUGAUGUUGUAAGAAAUAACAGUGGUUUUGUAGACUAUUAUCUAGCUUUAAAUAUUAAUUUUUAUUAUGGUUGACCUCAAAUCAGGUAAGGAUACCCGCUGAACUUAAGCAUAUCAAUAAGCGGAGGA